GGAGGGGCGUGUCCUGUUUUUUAAAAAUAAUUUAUGGUCAUUCCAUAAGACACCAUCUAGUUUAUCCUACAUUCCAUUCAAAACCUCUGCAAAUUCAGAUCAGCCAGUUGGACCAUAGCAAAGAGGAUGUUCCAAACAUCAGGAAAUCCUAGCCCAGUGUCUUGCUUUGGAAGAGGUCAAACAGAAGCCCUGCUAAUGACACAAGAAAUACCAAAACCCAUGUUAGCUGCUUCUUCAUAAGCAAAGAACAAAGGAAAAAUAUUCAGUUCUUCCAUCCAUAUUCUCUGCACUCAUGGACUAAUUGAAACCAGAAAGAAGCUUGAAACAGAAGAAUCUUCUCCCCUACCCUAAUUCUGUGCACCCUGUUGAUGCUCGAUAAAGAUUUCUACAUUGAUUAACUGAUU
Ornithorhynchus anatinus (platypus) is the source of this 404-nucleotide long non-coding RNA. RefSeq lists it as uncharacterized. The record is from RefSeq and is a predicted model, not a curated record. NCBI's taxonomy places the organism in Eukaryota, Metazoa, Chordata, Mammalia, Monotremata, Ornithorhynchidae. The transcript is spliced from 2 exons.